GAGCCCCGUGGAGGAGGGGAAACGGUGCUGGAACCCCUGCGCUACAAAGCGGUGGAGGAACAUUUCUUGUGUGACCGCGUACUUUUUGUAGAACGGGCCAACGAGUUACGUUAAGUAGAAAGGUGAAGCACUUAAGGUGUGGAGCCGUAGCGAAAGCGAGUUUUAACUGAGCGUUCAGUUACUUGACGUAGACCCGAAACCGGGCGACCUACCCAUGAGCAGGAUGAAGCGAAAGUAAAAUUUCGUGGAGGUCCGAACCCACGAGCGUUGAAAAGCUCGGGGAUGACUUGUGGGUAGCGGUGAAAUUCCAAUCGAGCCCGGAGAUAGCUGGUUCUCCCCGAAAUAGCUUUAGGGCUAGCCUCAAGGUGAGAGAUACGGAGGUAGAGCACUGAGUGUCCUAGGGGGUAUUGCACCUACCGAAGACUAUCAAACUCCGAAUGCCGUCAUCUUAUACUUGGGAGUCAGACUGUGGGUGAUAAGAUUCAUAGUCGAAAGGGCAACAGCCCAGAUCGUCAGCUAAGGUCCCUAAAUGUAAGUUAAGUGGUAAAGGAUGUGGGAUUGCACAGACAACCAGGAUGUUGGCUUAGAAGCAGCCACUCAUUCAAAGAGUGCGUAAUAGCUCACUGGUCGAGUGAUCCUGCGCCGAAGAUUUCCGGGGCUAAA
This 663-nucleotide ribosomal RNA is filed under the name Clostridioides difficile. RNAcentral's name for it is "bacterial LSU rRNA". It matches the Rfam family "Bacterial large subunit ribosomal RNA", at positions 521 to 1185 of the family's 2925-position model. Lineage: Bacteria; Bacillati; Bacillota; Clostridia; Peptostreptococcales; Peptostreptococcaceae. The record is from RNAcentral.